AGGAUGAACGCUGGCGGUGUGCCUAAUACAUGCAAGUCGAACGAGAUCUUCGGAUCUAGUGGCGGACGGGUGAGUAACACGUUGGUACCUACCCCUAAGUGGGGAAUAACUGCCCGAAAGGGUGGCUAAUACCGCAUAAUCCCGCAAGGGUAAAGCAGUAAUGCGCUUAGGGAGGGGCCUGCGUCUGAUUAGCUAGUUGGUAGGGUAAUGGCCUACCAAGGCGACGAUCAGUAGCUGGAUCGAGAGGUUGACCAGCCACACUGGGACUGAGAUACGGCCCCAGACUCCUACGGGAGGCAGCAGUAAGGAAUCUUCCACAAUGGACGAAAGUCUGAUGGAGCAACACCGCGUGCAGGAUGACGGUCUUCGGAUUGUAAACUGCUUUUAUAUGGGAAGAUUAUGACGGUACCAUAUGAAUAAGGACCGGCUAACUACGUGCCAGUAGCCGC
Molecule: ribosomal RNA, 449 nt
Filed under: uncultured bacterium
Lineage: Bacteria
Description: SSU rRNA
Rfam family: Bacterial small subunit ribosomal RNA
Source: RNAcentral